AUUGAACGCUGGCGGCAUGCCUUACACAUGCAAGUCGAACGGUAACGCGGGGGCAACCCUGGCGACGAGUGGCGAACGGGUGAGUAAUACAUCGGAACGUACCCAGUAGUGGGGGAGUAGCUCGGCGAAAGCCGGAUUAAUACCGCAUACGACCUAUGGGUGAAAGCGGGGGAUCGCAAGACCUCGCGCUAUUGGAGCGGCCGAUGUCGGAUUAGCUAGUUGGUGAGGUAAAGGCNCACCAAGGCUACGAUCCGUAGCUGGUCUGAGAGGACGACCAGCCACACUGGGACUGAG
RNAcentral lists this ribosomal RNA (294 nucleotides) under uncultured bacterium. RNAcentral describes it as "partial 16S ribosomal RNA". It matches the Rfam family "Bacterial small subunit ribosomal RNA", at positions 30 to 323 of the family's 1533-position model. The record is from RNAcentral.